Long non-coding RNA from Rattus rattus (black rat), 1515 nucleotides. RefSeq lists it as uncharacterized. The transcript is spliced from 3 exons. NCBI's taxonomy places the organism in Eukaryota, Metazoa, Chordata, Mammalia, Rodentia, Muridae. The record is from RefSeq and is a predicted model, not a curated record.
CUAUCUAUCUAUCUAUCUAUCUAUCUAUCUAUCUAGUCAUUCACUGAAUGUGGAACUCAGGAAUUUAGCUACCCAGGCUGGCAACUGAGCCCCAGGAAUCUGCCUGACUCUGUUUCCCCUUCUCUAGUAUUACAAGCAUGCACUACCACACCUUGCUUAUUUUAUAUGGUUCUGAGAAUCAAAUCCAGGUCCUCAUGCUUGUGCCUCAAGUUGUUUAGCCUGUGUGAUCUAAGAGGAACAUGAGAAGGCCAGUUUAGAGAUUGGAGGUCACUCUUUGGGAAUCUGCAGUGAGAUCAUCAUUUGGGACAAUGGAUUGUGCAGACAAUAAGCACAGAGCAGGUUGUUGUGAUCAGCUAGUCUUAAUGUCGACCCCAAAAGUAGAGGGUUUUUACUACGUGGUAUUUGAGAGCUAUCAUGCUAACCAAUCACUGGAACUCAAAACAGAGCAUGUUGUUGCUUCAAUUUCAGAAUGUAAGUUUUGUGAAGUGUCAUAUACAUACCCACCAUUCCACAUUCAAGAUGGCAUUCUGUCAAAAUUAGUUUUGUAGGACGGCUAUCACCAUCAUCUUAAGUGAUGAUGCAUGCAUUUGGCAUUUGGCAGAGACAAGUUAAUCUCUGUGAGUUAAAGGCCAGCAUGGACUACAUAUUAAGUUCCAGGACAACAGGGCUAUGUAGAAAGACUCUGACUCAAAAAGGAAAAAAAUAGAAAAGAAACAACAAACAGAAAGUUAACUUUUGAGUUUAGCAGUGAGAUCCCUUGGGAUGGAUCACUAGGGCUUUUUUGUGUGUCCUUAGUGAUUCCAGUUGACAUAAAACAACUACUAAUGUUAUUUGAGGAAGAGGAUUGGGAACUAGAUGAUUUUGCCGUGAAAAGCAGAUCACUGUCUAUGCUAUACAUCUGGGAGAUGUGCAGGAGGACUUACAGUUUUUAUCCAGUGUCUUUGCAUUCAAGGGUGACCUAGAGUCCAUUGCCCAGUCCAUCCUGGAUAUACCUGUUUGUGAACAAAGGUUACUGUCACAAAACCACUUGGAACCAAUACGAGCAACCUGUCUGGUUCCAGGUCUCCAAAUCUAUUUGGUAUCAGAGAAUCAAUUUCCUUAGUAAUAUGGUUGAAUUACAAUCAACAUCAAGGAUCCAUCUGAACUGUCAGGAAGUCUAUCUGUAGUCAUCCCCAAUCUGGAAAGGUCCUUCCUGUAUCUGUGAUUACCUGGUCCAAUUGGAGAAGCUAUGGAACAUUUGUUUGAAGUUGAGCCACAGACUCACUACUAAAGAAGAAACUUGCUGGGUUGUGGUCAUGCACAUCUUUAAUUCCAACACUCUGGAGGCAGAGACUGUUCAAACAAUGGGCUGGAAGAAAUUGCAGUUCCCCAAGACCCUCGUUCUGGAAGAAGAGAAAGAUUAAAGCCUGGACCAGCCAGAGAGGAAACUUAUCUCCUGGAACUUAUAAACCACUGUGCAGAAGACAUUCCAGUCUUAAACUGUAACCUCGGAUCAGGACCCUGAAGAUAGACUUG